UUCCGGUUGAUCCUGCCGGAGGUCACUGCUAUUGGGAUUCGACUAAGCCAUGCGAGUCGAGAGGGUUCGGCCCUCGGCAGACUGCUCAGUAACACGUGGAUAAUCUGCCCUUAGGUGGAGAAUAACCUCGGGAAACUGAGAAUAAUGCUCCAUAAAUCUGAGAUGCUGGAAUGCACUUAGAUUGAAAGCUCAGGCGUCUAAGGAUGAGUCUGCGGACUAUCAGGCUGUAGUCAGGGUAAAGACCUGACUAACCUACGACGGAUACGGGUUGUGAGAGCAAUAACCCGGAGACGAUAUCUGAGACACGAUAUCGGGCCCUACGGGGCGCAGCAGGCGCGAAACCUUCACACUGUGCGAAAGCACGAUGAGGGAAUCCCAAGUGCUUGCUCGUAAGAGUAAGCUGUUUUUGUGUCUAAAAAGCAUAGAGAGUAAGGGCUGGGUAAGACGGGUGCCAGCCGCCGCGGUAAUACCUGCAGCUCAAGUGGUGAUCGCUAUUAUUGGGCCUAAAACGUUCGUAGCCGGUUUGGUAAAUGCCUGGGUAAAUUGUGUAGCUUAACUAUACGAAUUCCGGGUAGACUGCCAAACUUGAGACCGGGAGAGGCUAGAGGUACUCCUGGGGUAGAGGUGAAAUUCUGUAAUCCUGGGGGGACCACCAGUGGCGAAGGCGUCUAGCUAGAACGGGUCUGACGGUGAGGGACGAAGCCCUGGGGCGCAAACCGGAUUAGAUACCCGGGUAGUCCAGGGUGUAAACGCUGCUUGCUUGAUGUUAGUUGGGCUCCGAGC
Molecule: ribosomal RNA, 783 nt
Filed under: uncultured archaeon
Lineage: Archaea
Description: bacterial SSU rRNA
Rfam family: Archaeal small subunit ribosomal RNA
Source: RNAcentral